GCGGCAACAGCUCAAAUUUGAAAUCUGGCUCUCGGGCCCGAGUUGUAAUUUGUAGAGGAUGCUUUUGGUGAGGUGCCUUCCGAGUUCCCUGGAACGGGACGCCAUAGAGGGUGAGAGCCCCGUCUGGUUGGACACCGAUCCUCUGUAAAGCUCCUUCGACGAGUCGAGUAGUUUGGGAAUGCUGCUCUAAAUGGGAGGUAUAUGUCUUCUAAAGCUAAAUACCGGCCAGAGACCGAUAGCGCACAAGUAGAGUGAUCGAAAGAUGAAAAGAACUUUGAAAAGAGAGUUAAACAGUACGUGAAAUUGUUGAAAGGGAAGCGCUUGUGACCAGACUUGGGCUUGGUUGAUCAUCCGGGGUUCUCCCCGGUGCACUCUUCCGGCCCAGGCCAGCAUCAGUUCGCCCUGGGGGACAAAGGCUUCGGGAAUGUGGCUCUCUCCGGGGAGUGUUAUAGCCCGUUGCGUAAUACCCUGUGGCGGACUGAGGUUCGCGCAUUCGCAAGGAU
Molecule: ribosomal RNA, 503 nt
Filed under: Fusarium keratoplasticum
Lineage: Eukaryota; Fungi; Ascomycota; Sordariomycetes; Hypocreales; Nectriaceae
Description: partial large subunit ribosomal RNA
Rfam family: Eukaryotic large subunit ribosomal RNA
Source: RNAcentral